This 857-nucleotide long non-coding RNA is filed under the name Ricinus communis (castor bean). RNAcentral's name for it is "long non-coding RNA (RCOM_LNC000159)". Lineage: Eukaryota; Viridiplantae; Streptophyta; Magnoliopsida; Malpighiales; Euphorbiaceae. The record is from RNAcentral.
AAGGAGAGAACAUGUCUUGAUACAUUAAUUAGAGAAACUAAAAAGAAAACACAAAGGAAAAGAAUGAAGGAAGUAGGUAAGAAUCCAGUAUGGAUAUCUUCUGUUCUUCUGUUCUUCAUUUGUUUUGCUUUGUGCCCGACACAAACCACUGUUGUCUAUGGUGAGGGAAUGAAUGCGGAUCCAUUAAGUAUGAAACGACUACACUUCGGCAUGUUGCCUAAGGGUGUUCCUAUUCCCCCAUCGGGACCCAGUAGACGUAGCUCAAUUCCUUCACCACCCCCACCACCUCUUGUAAAACCAUCAAAUUUGAAUUUUGGCAUGUUGCCUAAGGGUGUUCCUAUUCCUCCAUCUGGUCCGAGCAGGCGUUCUCCGCCGCCAUUCAGCAAGGGUUUGAGUUUCGGCAUGUUACCUAAGGGCGUCCCUAUUCCUCCAUCUGGGCCUAGCAGGCGUUCUCCACCACCACCAGCACUUACAGGAAAUCCGUUCAACAAGAAUUUGAAUUUCGGCAUGUUACCUAAAGGUGUUCCUAUUCCUCCAUCUGGGCCUAGUGAGCGCACUUCAGAACCUCCAUCACCCCUAUUUAAGAAAAGGCGGCUUGGGACUUUUGGUAUGUUGCAUAAGAGGGAUCCUACUCAACCAUCCACACCAAGUUACUUUCAUCUUCUGCAUAAAGGUCCUGUCCCUCCGUCCGGGCCUAGUAUAAACUGACUGAUCCAAUCCUUCAUUGUAUUGAAACCGCAUACUGCCAAUAUGCAACUGUCCCCUAUUUCUAUCGAAUAAGCAUAUUUACAGGUCAAUAACAUUACCAUGUUUAGAUACUACUAUUAAUGCAUGAUAUCCUUUAAGAUUUUCUUUUA